CGGGUGAGUAAUGCCUAGGAAAUUGCCCUGGUGUGGGGGAUAACCAUUGGAAACGAUGGCUAAUACCGCAUAAUACCUUCGGGUCAAAGAGGGGGACCUUCGGGCCUCUCGCGUCAGGAUAUGCCUAGGUGGGAUUAGCUAGUUGGUGAGGUAAUGGCUCACCAAGGCGACGAUCCCUAGCUGGUCUGAGAGGAUGAUCAGCCACACUGGAACUGAGACACGGUCCAGACUCCUACGGGAGGCAGCAGUGGGGAAUAUUGCACAAUGGGCGCAAGCCUGAUGCAGCCAUGCCGCGUGUGUGAAGAAGGCCUUCGGGUUGUAAAGCACUUUCAGUCGUGAGGAAGGUGGUGUAGUUAAUAGCUGUAUUAUUUGACGUUAGCGACAGAAGAAGCACCGGCUAACUCCGUGCCAGCAGCCGCGGUAAUACGGAGGGUGCGAGCGUUAAUCGGAAUUACUGGGCGUAAAGCGCAUGCAGGUGGUUUGUUAAGUCAGAUGUGAAA
RNAcentral lists this ribosomal RNA (500 nucleotides) under Vibrio harveyi. Its description in RNAcentral is "bacterial SSU rRNA". It matches the Rfam family "Bacterial small subunit ribosomal RNA", at positions 103 to 599 of the family's 1533-position model. Lineage: Bacteria; Pseudomonadati; Pseudomonadota; Gammaproteobacteria; Vibrionales; Vibrionaceae. The record is from RNAcentral.